Cebus imitator (Panamanian white-faced capuchin) is the source of this 300-nucleotide long non-coding RNA. RefSeq lists it as uncharacterized. The transcript has 2 exons. The record is from RefSeq and is a predicted model, not a curated record. NCBI's taxonomy places the organism in Eukaryota, Metazoa, Chordata, Mammalia, Primates, Cebidae.
CUGUGAGUAAGUAAAAGGAAGUGUGAAUAACUGCCUAAUUGGUGGACGUGAAAACUGGACAGUCUCCAAAGUCAUCAGAGAUGACCAUGCUUGCCGGGCAGCUUCCUAGACUAAGGGUGACGUGCCCAUCAUGCAGGAAGAUUCUCCGAGGCUGGGGAGAGCAAACUUGUCUGCUUUGAGAAGUGCAGAUGUAUCAGGAUCCAGAAUCGGACUCUGAAAAAGCUGUCAUUUCAUGUCUCUAAAACAGCCUUUGAUUUAAUGUACAAGAUGUCAAGAAGUAAAGAACAAUAAAAUAAAAAC